This 246-nucleotide ribosomal RNA is filed under the name uncultured bacterium. Its description in RNAcentral is "partial 16S ribosomal RNA". It matches the Rfam family "Bacterial small subunit ribosomal RNA", at positions 524 to 769 of the family's 1533-position model. The record is from RNAcentral.
UACGUAGGGCGCAAGCGUUAUCCGGAAUUAUUGGGCGUAAAGAGCUCGUAGGCGGUUUGUCGCGUCUGCCGUGAAAGUCCGGGCUCAACUCCGGAUCUGCGGUGGGUACGGGCAGACUAGAGUGAUGUAGGGGAGACUGGAAUUCCUGGUGUAGCGGUGAAAUGCGCAGAUAUCAGGAGGAACACCGAUGGCGAAGGCAGGUCUCUGGGCAUUAACUGACGCUGAGGAGCGAAAAGCAUGGGGAGC